RNAcentral lists this transfer RNA (90 nucleotides) under Streptomyces capillispiralis. RNAcentral's name for it is "tRNA-Ala". The record is from RNAcentral. Lineage: Bacteria; Bacillati; Actinomycetota; Actinomycetes; Kitasatosporales; Streptomycetaceae.
CGGCCUGUGCGGCGAGGGCGGAGACGGCGGCGGUGGCCGCGUCGCGUUCCCGCGCGGGCGGGGGCGCGCCGUCCGGGGCGGCCAGGACGC